UAGUGGCCACUCCAACCACGUAGGCUGCCACGAUACACAAGGGGAUACAUAUCCAUCGGCUUCCCAGCAGCUACCACCCACGGCCGCGCCGCCGAACCGCGACCGCGACGUCACCCGGCGCGGAACAUGGCGUCGGCGUCUCCGCCUCCCACCACCGCCGGCGCGCGGCCCAGUCCCAGCACACCCUCCCCCUCGUCCUCCUCCCUUUCCACCGUCUCCCCCCACGGGCCCAUCUCCCUCUGCGGCGCCUCGAGGGCUUCCUCCGUCUCCGUCCAGCAACGGCGGGCAUCCCCUCUCGCCGGAAGGUCGCGCCUACCAGGCCCCAUCCGCUGCUCUGAUGCCUCCGGCGAGGUUGACGCACUUAUUGAAGAAACCAAGCAGCCACAAGGAGGCUCAACCGGGGAAAGAAAUAAUGACAAAGAUGUGUUCAGAAGAUUUUCACCUAAAGAGUAUUCACAACUAACUGUUGCUAGAACAAUUGAAGAGAUAUGGUGCUGCUGGAGUUUUGUCAUAUGGACUACUUAAUACUGUGUAUUAUGUCACCACCUUUUUAUUAGUUUGGUUCCAUUUUUCGCCUGCUCCUGGUAGGAUGGGCUAUGCUGCAGCAGUGGAGAGGUUCCUUAAAUUAAUGGCAAUGGUGUGGGCUGGCAGUCAGGUUACUAAAAUUCUUCGUGCAGGAGGAGCCCUUGCACUUGCUCCUCUUGUUGAUAGAGGACUGAGAUGGUUCACUGUGAAGUUCAACUUCCAGUCAGAAGGAAAGGCAUUUGCGACGAUCGUAGGGUUAUGCUUUGCACUUGCUGCGCUUAUGUUCGUUGGAUUGACAGUACUUUGGGCAUAGCGCAUAUGUUUCUGAUGACAGUCAAGGGAUUAAGGCAAGAUGUUGUGGAGGUACAGCCGUACAGGCGUUCAACAUUCACAUUUAGCUGAUAGGCUUAGUUACAACAUUUUCAGCAUAAAUAUUCCUGUAUCAGGAACCUGUCGGCAGUGUUUUUUAGUCCUUGUAAUGGAAACAGAGUUUGUGGUGGACAUGGAAUCUGUUUUGAUGUUUAAACAGCCUCUGGAGUCAAACAUGUUGAUGUUCUUCUUUCUAGCA
Triticum aestivum (bread wheat) is the source of this 1093-nucleotide RNA transcript. RefSeq lists it as uncharacterized. NCBI's taxonomy places the organism in Eukaryota, Viridiplantae, Streptophyta, Magnoliopsida, Poales, Poaceae. The record is from RefSeq and is a predicted model, not a curated record. The transcript has 8 exons.